Molecule: long non-coding RNA, 685 nt
Organism: Zea mays
Lineage: Eukaryota; Viridiplantae; Streptophyta; Magnoliopsida; Poales; Poaceae
Exons: 6
Source: RefSeq, a predicted model, not a curated record
GAGGAUGAAAACGAAGAUGAUGAGUACGAGGAACUGCACUCACACUACAAAUGUUCUAAAAUUCAGGAUAAGAGCAAGCCACCACAGUCACGACGUGAAGCACUCCAUGCUAGUAGAGUUUCUGCAUCAAUAAAGGUUUCCACAGAUAUUUUCUUAAAGAGCACAAGAUAUCCAAACAGGAAAGUUGCCUUAGGCAGAGUACUUAGCCAGGACCCCAAAACCAAAGUUGGAGAUGUUGCUUUAGGCAAAGAAUUUUGGAUGGUGCAUGUUAGUCUGGUAUCUGUGCGCGAUGAACCACUAAUAAGGCCAUAUAACAACUUCAAGGUUCUUGGACAAGUAGGCAAUAAUCCAAUUGCAUGGCCUUCAAGUUGUAUUGAAAAGGUUAACUGAUAACAUGGGAUGAAUAAUAGCGCCGGGAUUGCUAAGGUUGCCUGGCCGAAGUUGGAGCUGUGAGGACUCAUAGAGCAGAGAAGAGUUGUUCUCAGUUAUGAACUUGGAACACUAUGAAGAUGCAAGGGCUUACUGCAUAUGGAUAUUUGUUUUAUUUGGAUCUAGAUUACCGAUGACUAUGAGUCAUAUGUAAAUAUGUUUUUAUCCUACCACUCAAACAUAUAUUAUAUAUGAAACUAUGGAUCAACUUCUUGUAAUGCAAUUAUUGAUUUUUAAUAUAUAUUAUUUUUUCUUC